AUUGAACGCUGGCGGCAUGCCUUACACAUGCAAGUCGAACGGUAACAGGUCUUCGGAUGCUGACGAGUGGCGAACGGGUGAGUAAUACAUCGGAACGUGCCUAGUAGUGGGGGAUAACUACUCGAAAGAGUGGCUAAUACCGCAUGAGAUCUACGGAUGAAAGCAGGGGAUCGCAAGACCUUGUGCUACUAGAGCGGCCGAUGGCAGAUUAGGUAGUUGGUGGGAUAAAAGCCUACAAAGCCGACGAUCUGUAGCUGGUCUGAGAGGACGAUCAGCCAAACUGGGACUGAGACACGGCCCAGACUCCUACGGGAGGCAGAAGUGGGGAAUUUUGGACAAUGGGCGAAAGCCUGAUCCAGCAAUGCCGCGUGCAGGAUGAAGGCCUUCGGGUUGUAAACUGCUUUUGUACGGAACGAAAAGCCCCGGGUUAAUACCCUGGGGUCAUGACGGUACCGUAAGAAUAAGCACCGGCUAACUACGUGCCAGCAGCCGCAGUAA
This 498-nucleotide ribosomal RNA is filed under the name uncultured bacterium. RNAcentral's name for it is "partial 16S ribosomal RNA". It matches the Rfam family "Bacterial small subunit ribosomal RNA", at positions 30 to 523 of the family's 1533-position model. The record is from RNAcentral.